CAAUGAAGAGUCAGUGCCUAAAGGAGCUGCCUACAAGAAACGUCAAGGAGAAGAUGGAUUAGUCUUCAGGCUGGCUGGCUGUAACCCAAGCAUUCCAGGCCGAGUGCCCCUGCUAUACAUCAUCUGCAGAGAUGUUCAGAAGGUCAAUGAGGCAGGCAGCUUGAAACCUGCAGCAGGCUCUCAGGCUGGGACUCCCAAGGAUACUUGUUCUGAUGUCACAUCAGGAUGCUGAUUCUGUCAUGGUUUAUGCUUGCAGUUCCAGCAACACCAGAUGAAAACUUGAAGAAUGAAAGGAAUCCCCAGCAAAUAAACUGCUUUCUUCCCAUAAAGAGUAUGUAUCAUGGAAGCCACUUUUAUACCAUUG
Long non-coding RNA from Zonotrichia leucophrys gambelii, 364 nucleotides. RefSeq lists it as uncharacterized. The record is from RefSeq and is a predicted model, not a curated record. The transcript has 3 exons. Lineage: Eukaryota; Metazoa; Chordata; Aves; Passeriformes; Passerellidae.